AGGGCAGGCAGGUCGACAGACAGAGAAAACAGUGAAUACAUUAGCAGUGAUUAGUCACCACCAGCAGCUCUCUCCUUGAUUGAGCCGCACUGUGAAGCCAGUUCUGCAGGGGGGAAGAGAGGGACGGAGAAGGGGACAGAUUUGCACUGUCCACAGGAACACAGGAACAUAACCAACACAUGUCAUGGAUAACAAGCCUGACAAACCGACAGGCAGGCAGUGAACAAUUAGCACCUGCUCCCCAAAGCGGUAUGAGACUAUAUCUUCAAGAGACAUGGGAACAUAGCUUCAUCAUGUGACCCUAACCUUAUGUUCAAGUAUGACAAAGACAUUCAGUACAUAACUCACACGCCUCUUAGCCAACUCCUAUCAUUUCAGUCGGCAGACUCAAACAGUUCUGGUUGCAACAUCGAAGUGUCUAUCAGACAAACACGAGCAUUCAUCUUUGUCAGUAUGACUCUCUGAGCUCUCUGCCAGAGAAUGCACAAGCCGUACAUGAUCAGACAGUAUAAAAGAACAGCCAAAUAUUUAUCAUCUGCACUUCACAGAAUGGGUAAGAAAGGCGAACGUUAGGAUGGUGGAGGCAGCAACAAAAGAAGCAGCGGAUUGUAAACACAAUCUGCUAUCAUCACAGACCACGAAGAAACCAGCACCAGCACACGCAGCGCGUCGACACACGUCGACGGCAGCCAUGUUGGAUGUUUAUUCAGAGCUCCAUUAGGUACAACGAUGAGAAGCCAGCUGAUUUAGAACCUGUCCUCUUCGCCCACCCCCACCCCCCCUAUAUUUUCUCCCUACAUUAGAUUCCUGAGCUGCAAAGGAGACAGAUGGUUGCUAUGGCAACUAUCUGCAGGGAUGAGGAAUGUGCUCCUGUGCAGCGCAUCUGUUUCUCCCUGGUUGUCUGUGGCUCCACCCACUCAGAGGAAGAACCCUUCGGCGCAGGUGAGGGGGUGUGGCCUACUGGACAAAGGUUCUCAAGCCACAGGACCAAACUUACCGGUGUGGUAUGUGGCCAUGGAGGGAUUCUUUGCAGGAGUGCAGUUUGGAAACUGUGUCAUUCCCCAGACUCAGAUUAAGGCAAAGGCAAACUGAUGUCACUUGUGAGACGUUUAGUGAAAAACGAUUGUCUAAAUCUAGUACCCUACACACCGAACGGUACGUACCCUACACACUGUUAUACAUGACAACCCCUGAAGGACGUUCAGAUACUGGAACCAGCAUUCCUGGCACUUCCGAUCGAACCAACCUCAAAAUCUUUCAGUUCACUUGUUUUGGCCCAUUCUAACAUUCAAUCGAACGGUAACUGAAUGCCUCUGUGCCUGUCUGCCUGCUUUAAAUAGCCCCAGCCACAUGACUCACUAGGAACCAUUGAUUUUUGUGAAUGGGGAUGGUGUAUCUUCUAAACUGGCUGUGGAUGGUAUGUACAGUCCUGUGGCAUUAGUUUGUUUUCCAGAGCUGGUCUUCUAAUUGGUUGAUCUCAUACUUUGUGAUGUCAGGGGAUCAUUUUCUAAAGAAUGAACGAAGGUCGGGAGAAAGCCUAUGAAAUGGGAUGGACAGACACCAACAUCCCAAAGCCCAGAGAGGGGAACAGUCCACAGCCCAGAGAGGGGAACAGUCCACAGCCCAGAGAGGGGAACAGUCCACAGCCCAGAGAGGGGAACAGUCCACAGCCCAGAGAGGGGAACAGUCCACAGCCCAGAGAGGGGAACAGUCCACAGCCCAGAGAGGGGAACAGUCCACAGCCCAGAGAGGGGAACAGUCCACAGCCCAGAGAGGGGAACAGUCCACAGCCCAGAGAGGGGAACAGUCCACAGCCCAGAGAGGGGAACAGUCCACAGCCCAGAGAGGGGAACAGUCCACAGCCCAGAGAGGGGAACAGUUGGGGGUCCUGAGGUACCAGCUUCAGAUAGGCAGGGAUGGACAGGGGGGGGCUACAAUGAAUGAAUCUGGGGCAAUACAACAAUACUUCUCAACAAAGAAACUACAUUUCUUGAGCUUAUGCAGAAUAUAGGAAACUGCUGCUCAUGCCUGUUGGAACUUCAAACUGUAAGUUACAUAUGCAUAUGAAAAGAGCACCAGACUGCAGAGUGAGAUGAACAGGAAAGGGCCCAGUAUGUUUGCCUUGUGAUGCAAUUACAGCCAGAAUGCAAAUGACAUCCAUUUUAGGAAUGUCCCCACACCUACCUUUAGCACAAACAAGCCCUCAACAUUUCUCUCUCACAGGAAAUGUCUGGAGAGAGUGUGUCAAAUUUGGGGGAUAGCAAUUGUAACAGGAAACUUGACAGAUAGUCAGUCAACCUCUGCCUUGUAGCUGGUCGUUGAGUACUGCACAGUGAAUGAAGGGUCAUAAAGUUAAAGAAGUAUGAGAUUACAGUAUGUCAACAACGUUUGUCCCAGAACUACUGCUGCACCGGGAGACGAAGAGGAGCCUGUGUUUUAUGGAAAUGUUUGGAGCAAGAGUGAAUUGUAUUUCUAAACCCUUCUCUGUAUACAAAUACCAAGUACCAACUGAAAAUCGAGGACUAACCCCACAAUGAAAAACAUUGACUGCCCCUUUGCAUUUAAAGUAUGAAGCAGAACAAUCUGCUGUAAAUGUAGAAUUCUCAACCUGUGGACCAGGUGAUCAAGUUAUGUCUGUCUGGAACUAUAUUCCACAUAUUUAAGUUUCAAUAUUCCUAUAUGUUUAAUGUAUGCACCCCCCUGCCAAAGUAAAUUCCUUGUUUGUGCAAACAUUCAUGGCGAAUAAAAUCCCUCCUGUUCUGCUCUGUUCUGCUCAUCAACAUGUCUAAUUUCCAUUAGUUGGGCUCCAAGUAAG
Long non-coding RNA from Hypomesus transpacificus, 2815 nucleotides. RefSeq lists it as uncharacterized. Lineage: Eukaryota; Metazoa; Chordata; Actinopteri; Osmeriformes; Osmeridae. The transcript is spliced from 4 exons. The record is from RefSeq and is a predicted model, not a curated record.